UAGGGAAUUUUGCGCAAUGGGGGAAACCCUGACGCAGCAACGCCAUGUGUGGGAUGAAGCAUUUCGGUGUGUAAACCACUGUCAGCAGGGAAUAAACAGCUUCUUCGGAGGCGCUUGAAUGUACCUGCAAAGGAAGCCCCGGCUAACUUCGUGCCAGCAGCCGCGGUAAUACGAGGGGGGCAAAUGUUGUUCGGAAUCACUGGGCGUAAAGGGAGCGUAGGCGGGUUUUUAAGUUGGAUGUUUAACCCCGGGGCCCAACCCCGGAUCGGCAUCCAAAACUGGGAAUCUUGAAUAGGGGAGAGGUCAGUGGAAUUGGAGGUGUAGCGGUGGAAUGCGUAGAGAUCUCCAAGAACACCAGUUGCGAAGGCGGCUGACUGGACCCAUAUUGACGCUGAGGCUCGAAAGCAUGGGGAGCAAA
RNAcentral lists this ribosomal RNA (418 nucleotides) under uncultured bacterium. Its description in RNAcentral is "bacterial SSU rRNA". It matches the Rfam family "Bacterial small subunit ribosomal RNA", at positions 355 to 772 of the family's 1533-position model. The record is from RNAcentral.